RNAcentral lists this ribosomal RNA (495 nucleotides) under uncultured bacterium. RNAcentral describes it as "partial 16S ribosomal RNA". It matches the Rfam family "Bacterial small subunit ribosomal RNA", at positions 28 to 507 of the family's 1533-position model. The record is from RNAcentral.
GACGAACGCUGGCGGCGUGCCUAAUACAUGCAAGUAGAACGCUGAAGGAGGAGCUUGCUUCUCUGGAUGAGUUGCGAACGGGUGAGUAACGCGUAGGUAACCUGCCUGGUAGCGGGGGAUAACUAUUGGAAACGAUAGCUAAUACCGCAUAAUAUUGACUAUUGCAUGAUAGUCAGUUGAAAGGUGCAACUGCACCACUACCAGAUGGACCUGCGUUGUAUUAGCUAGUUGGUGGGGUAACGGCUCACCAAGGCGACGAUACAUAGCCGACCUGAGAGGGGGAUCGGCCACACUGGGACUGAGACACGGCCCAGACUCCUACGGGAGGCAGCCGUAGGGAAUCUUCGGCAAUGGACGGAAGUCUGACCGAGCAACGCCGCGUGAGUGAAGAAGGUUUUCGGAUCGUAAAGCUCUGUUGUAAGAGAAGAACGAGUGUGAGAGUGGAAAGCUCACACUGUGACGGUAUCUUACCAGAAAGGGACGGCUAACUACGUG